GUUGUAUAGUCAAGUAAUGAAGUGCACAUGGUGGAUGCCUUGGCAGUCAGAGGCGAUGAAAGACGUGACAGCCUGCGAAAAGCGUCGGGGAGGCGGCAAUAUCCUGUGAUCCGGCGAUAUCUGAAUGGGGAAACCCACCUACCAUAAGGUAGGUACCCCGCUAUAUUUUAUAGCGGGGGGCAAACCGGGAGAAGUGAAACAUCUCAGUAACCCGAGGAAAAGACAUCAAUAGAGAUUCCCCUAGUAGCGGCGAGCGAACGGGGAGGAGCCGACUGAUUAUAAUUUAGAGGAAUGACUUGGAAAG
This 304-nucleotide ribosomal RNA is filed under the name Salmonella enterica subsp. enterica serovar Typhimurium. RNAcentral's name for it is "partial 23S ribosomal RNA". It matches the Rfam family "Bacterial large subunit ribosomal RNA", at positions 1 to 318 of the family's 2925-position model. The record is from RNAcentral. Lineage: Bacteria; Pseudomonadati; Pseudomonadota; Gammaproteobacteria; Enterobacterales; Enterobacteriaceae.